Molecule: ribosomal RNA, 424 nt
Filed under: uncultured bacterium
Lineage: Bacteria
Description: partial 16S ribosomal RNA
Rfam family: Bacterial small subunit ribosomal RNA
Source: RNAcentral
AAUCUUCCGCAAUGGACGCAAGUCUGACGGAGCAACGCCGCGCGUGCGAAGAAGGCCUUCGGGUCGUAAAGCUCUGUUGUUAGGGAAGAACAAGUAUCGGAGUAACUGCCGGUACCUUGACGGUCCCUAACCAGAAAGCCACGGCUAACUAUGUGCCAGCAGCCGCGGUACUACGGAGGUGGCAAGCGUUGUCGGGAAUUAUUGUGCGUAAAGCGCGCGCAGGCUGUCUCUUAAGUCUGAUGUGAAAGACCCCGGCUCACCCGGGGAGGGUCAUUGGAAACUGGGAGACUUGAGUGCAGAAGAGAAGAGCGGAAUUCCACGUGUAGCGGUGAAAUGCGUAGAGAUGUGGAGGAACACCAGUGGCGAAGGCGGCUCUUUGGUCUGUAACUGACGCUGAGGCGCGAAAGCGUGGGGAGCAAACAGG